CUUCUAUUGCCAACCCAACUCAAGGCUUGCAGCGCAAGAACCGCACCUGUCAACAUGAACCGAGUCUUGGGAAUGGACCUUCUUGCAGCAGUUGCGGUGGCCAUAGCUGUGAUCAUCAUGGCACCCAACGAAGCUGCUGCUCUUGGUGGCAUGGUUGGAGGAAAUAGUGGAAUCGGACUGAAAAAGAAGUGAGCCAGCAGUCACCGUGGAUGAAAUCAGGAUUCCUGUGUUUCGAUGACAUGACCCACUUGUGCAAGACAGGGCGCCAAUAAAAAAGAAGCACGAGUUGAGAAA
Dermacentor andersoni is the source of this 294-nucleotide long non-coding RNA. RefSeq lists it as uncharacterized. The record is from RefSeq and is a predicted model, not a curated record. Lineage: Eukaryota; Metazoa; Arthropoda; Arachnida; Ixodida; Ixodidae.